Molecule: ribosomal RNA, 301 nt
Filed under: uncultured bacterium
Lineage: Bacteria
Description: partial 16S ribosomal RNA
Rfam family: Bacterial small subunit ribosomal RNA
Source: RNAcentral
CAGUCGCCGCGGUAAUACGUAGGGUGCGAGCGUUAAUCGGAAUUACUGGGCGUAAAGCGUGCGCAGGCGGUUUUGUAAGACAGGCGUGAAAUCCCCGGGCUCAACCUGGGAAUGGCGCUUGUGACUGCAAAGCUAGAGUGCGGCAGAGGGGGAUGGAAUUCCGCGUGUAGCAGUGGAAUGCGUAGAUAUGCGGAGGAACACCGAUGGCGAAGGCAAUCCCCUGGGCCUGCACUGACGCUCAUGCACGAAAGCGUGGGGAGCAAACAGGAUUAGAUACCCCCGUAGUCCCUGUCUCUUAUAA